RNAcentral lists this ribosomal RNA (250 nucleotides) under uncultured bacterium. RNAcentral describes it as "partial 16S ribosomal RNA". It matches the Rfam family "Bacterial small subunit ribosomal RNA", at positions 524 to 772 of the family's 1533-position model. The record is from RNAcentral.
UACGUAGGGUCCAAGCGUUAUCCGGAAUCACUGGGCGUAAAGCGUUCGUAGGCGGUUUUUCAAGUUGGGUGUGAAAUCCUGUGGCUCAACCAUAUGGACUGUGCCCAAAACUGAAAGACUAGAGCAUAGUAGAGGCAAGUGGAACUUGCGGUGUAGGGGUGACAUCCGUAGAUAUCGCAAAGAACACCAAUGGCGAAGGCAGCUUGCUGGGCUAUUGCUGACGCUCAGGAACGAAAGCGUGGGGAGCGAA